RNAcentral lists this ribosomal RNA (438 nucleotides) under Triticum aestivum (bread wheat). RNAcentral describes it as "partial small subunit ribosomal RNA". The record is from RNAcentral. Lineage: Eukaryota; Viridiplantae; Streptophyta; Magnoliopsida; Poales; Poaceae.
AUGCCCCAGUCGACACCGGUGACAGAACCAGUGACUCAGCAGUCCGGAGACCUCAACCGGGCUUCCGUUACUUUUGCCAUCCCCUUGUCGAGUGAACGUCCUUCAUUGUUGACUGCCCAUGCUUUGGAUCCUCAGCCUGCUGCGACUGGUUUGCCCUCGCCACUUUUCACCUCCCGUCAUGUCCCAGAGGACCAAGUAGGAGCUGCCAAAAAAGCCAUACGCCAGGCAGGCCUUAUGAUGGAACAAAUGAAGGUGGUGCGUGAGGCUAGCCAGGCCGCUUAUGACGCCAGUUCAGCCCUCCAGACCAAUGUCCAGAAAUCUUGUGAACUUGGAGCUCGAUUUGCUGAUCUGGAGCAGAAGCAGAUCCAGCUCAAUCUUGAUCUGGAGUUGGCCAAGGAGAACUUGCAGAAAGCCAAGGAUGACGUUGCAGAAAAAUGA